This 253-nucleotide ribosomal RNA is filed under the name uncultured bacterium. RNAcentral's name for it is "partial 16S ribosomal RNA". It matches the Rfam family "Bacterial small subunit ribosomal RNA", at positions 524 to 776 of the family's 1533-position model. The record is from RNAcentral.
UACGGAGGGUGCAAACGUUGCUCGGAAUCAUUGGGCGUAAAGCGCGUGUAGGCGGCAUGUUAAGUCGUGUGUGAAAGCCCCGGGCUCAACCUGGGAAGUGCGCACGAAACUGGCAAGCUAGAGUACGGGAGAGGGUAGUGGAAUUCCCGGUGUAGAGGUGAAAUUCGUAGAUAUCGGGAGGAACACCAGUGGCGAAGGCGGCUACCUGGACCGAUACUGACGCUGAGACGCGAAAGCGUGGGGAGCAAACAGG